AGACCUCGAAAGAAUAGAAUGGUAUGGUUUAGAAAUAAAUUCAGAUUAUUAAAAUUGAAAACAUUCUUCUUAUAUCCUCCUCUCCCCCCUUGUGUAUUGCCUUCUUUGGUUUAAUUACUGACAGAUUAUUCUAUUUCUAGAAUGACUAGUUAUGAACUUCUAAAAAAAUCAAGUUUAGUUGAGGAUGUGAUUUGUUUUGUUUUGAUUUCCGUCUCUUUUGGCCUAUAUUUCGUUGUUUCUUGACAUCAUUAACUGUGAAUGACCCUUUUCUUCUUGUUGAACAUGAAUCAUCGGCGUUGAGCAAGAUCCCCGUAGUUAUUAUGUCAUCUGAGAAGAUUUUAGCUCGCAAUGAUAGAUGUUUGGAGGAAGGUGCUGCAGAAUUUCUCCUAAAGCCUGUUAAGCUGUCUGAUGUCAAACAUCUCUGAGAAUUCAUACUAAGAGGUGAGGGGGAUGACAACAAAGAAACAGAGAAGAAGAUUAAAGAAGUAUGUUCUAGAAAAUGAAAAUUUCAAGACGAUUCAAUGACACCACUGAUGCCAUCUUCUUUAGUUACAGGCCAUGAGCCCAUGACAAUAUAUACUCUAUCAUUGUGUCCAAUUCUCCACUUGUGUGCGCCAUAGUUUCAGGAAUUCAAAAUUCACCUUGAUGAAAAUCUUAGAUCCGCCGUAGUUGGCAGAUGUAUGAUCUUGAAGAAAAAAAUGUGUGCUUGGAAUCUCAUCUAAAGUCGAUUCAGUUGAUUGGUUUCAAAGGUGAAGAAAUUAAGAUAGAACUACUAAAGUUUUUUUGAAGAAUGCAUGGGUAUUGCAAAAAACUUACGAUUGUUUGGUCAAGUUAUGCUCAGAAAUCAGAAGAGACAUCAAAGAAGGUUUUGAAGACUCCUAGAACUUCUUCACAUGCUUUUCUGAGAUUUCACAAUGCCAACCUCAGACAAAGGUGAUUUUAAAAGCAUUGAAGAUCCACAGUUAUGAGCUAUUGACAACAAAAUGAGGCACAACUAAGAAAGUGCAACUAAAUUAAAUGAGUGCAAUGUGGCCGCUGAUGCGGUAGGCUGACGUACUAAAGCAGAGCACCAUAUGUACAACAUGGAGGGAACCCUUUAAGACAGAUCCACUGCUACUGGAAAAAAUAUUCAAAAAGGAAGGUCCUCCUUGGACAUUGAGUUCAGUUGUGCUAAAAGCUAAGAUGUUGUUGGAUGUGAAGUUGAGUUCAGAUUAUGCAGUCAGCUAGCUUAUCAUCUGGCCCACCUUACAAUAAAAUGACGACUAUCCUAUUUCUGAUUCAUUUGCUUCACUUCCUUCACAAGCCAAAAAUAGGUGAACUUAAAUAGAAUAGGGAUGGCGACUCUUAAAUCAAAUCUAUUGCGGUUCUUUCAUGAUUGUAAAAAUGGAUGCAUGUCUUAUGUAUUUUUUGUUUGGUCGUGAGCUGUAGGUAGAUGCCCCUUAUAUUUUGUACUUUGAAUGAAGUCAAUAAAAUUCUAUACCUAAUGCCAUUUUCUAA
Long non-coding RNA from Solanum tuberosum (potato), 1497 nucleotides. RefSeq lists it as uncharacterized. Lineage: Eukaryota; Viridiplantae; Streptophyta; Magnoliopsida; Solanales; Solanaceae. The record is from RefSeq and is a predicted model, not a curated record. The transcript is spliced from 5 exons.